CGUAUGUUUUGUUUGUAGUUUUUUACGUGUUGCGUCAUGAGGUGUAGUGUCUGGGUUUAAUGCAUGGAGAAACACUAGUAUCAUAAUACUGAACUUUGAUUUGUUAGGUCUUUGCUCAAUGAAUGAUUAACCUGUGUUGUUACAGGUGUGCAUGAUUUGAAAUGCUCAACAGAUGAUGAAAGCUCAACUGUAGGGAAAAGAUGUCCAAAAUAUACUUUGACCUGUUGGCUUGCUUCUACAAUGCUAUGCGAACAUUCCUAUCACACACAUAAUAUUAAGUUACCUAACAUACAGUCAGAGAUGUCGUGGCUCUCCUACUGUGAACAUUAUGAAUGUCAUCUUCAUCUUACAGCUCUCCACACCUGGUACAUGUCAGAAAGAGAAUAAGCAUCAAUGGACAGCCAAUCAGCAAAGAGCUCUUCACCAAAUACUUCUGGGAGGUGUACGCCCAGUUAGAUGCUACAAAGUUAUAGUACGUCUUCAUAGAGAGUUGAAGAAUGAACACUGACAUAGCCCAUCACUCUCAAAGGAACUCUCUGACCCUUCCUUGUUAUGACGGUGUCACUGCACUGAUCCUCAGGACUCCCAUGGAGGUAGUAUGCCGGCUUAUUUCGGCUUCCUCACCAUCCUGGUGUUCCAUGUCUUCCUAUAGGAGAGGGUAACAUUCACAUACCCUGUCACAUGUACAGUUUGUUCACAAAUGUACUAAUGACCAAAUCAAUUGAUAACAGUUGUAAACCAUUCUGAGCAGGAUCUCUCUAUAUAAAAUAUGGAUUUAUCUGUAGUUGAGGUUGUGAUUGGAGGGGCCUAUGACUGUACAAACAUCAUCAGGUAAUUUUGCUGCAUAUCAUAAAGGCUGUAUUAUCAAAGUCAAACAUAAGAUUGAGUAGUUACAGAAUCUAUAUACACUUACUUUUCUUCCUGACAUUUGGUGAACAGGAAGCUGUGGGUUUGUGGGAUCACACAAGUAUACUAGGAGACACCAUAGAGGAGAUGGCCUGGCAGAAAGCAGGCAUAUCUAAGCCAGGGGUGCCAGCAUUCACUGUGAGGCAGCCAGCUAGGCCCAUGACUGUUCUACAGGACAGAGCCAAAGAGAUAGGGUGGGUGUGUCCAGAUCUGGAGCAGUAUGAAGUUGGGGCUGGCCCUCUGUUUCUGGGCCUGGCUGGACAACAGCAGAGCUACACCGCUACACCGCUACCGACAGUCUGAUGACCAUCUCGCUACACCAGUAGUGGAGAACAGGCUGGUCUCCCAGGCAGCAGCCUUUCAGCCCAGCACCAUCAUGGUCAAAGAUCAGCAGAAUUUCAAUAUGUUGGUGGAGAACAUGCUUACCCGUUGCCUGGACAACGAGAGCAGCUAGCAGAGCUUGAGUGGGACAGAGAAGCAGCAGGGAUCUGAGUCAGAGCUGCUGAUACAGGACAGGUUCCCCCUGCUGGCCAAGACCAGGGCACACACCCUGGUCUACCCCUGCAUCUUCAGCGCCCUCCAGUGGAUCAGUCAGGGAAGGGACGCUGAGCCACAGAUAGAACAUCUUUGGCUGUGCUGGCUACUGCAGGCAGCCACUCUCCCAGUACAGCCCAAUGUCAUGGCUAAAGCAGCACCACUAUGAGAGGCAGCCCACGUCUCUGGCCUGGUAGUCUACACCUGGUGGGAGGGGCUCUGAAACACCUGGCCCCCUCGCUAGCCUCCUAAUGGACUAUUGGCCCAGCAGUUUAGAUUCUAUUUGGAUUACUGGUUAGUUUGGAUCCGUCUGGCUGGUUUUUCUGUAGGACAUUGAGAUACACUCAAUGUUUGACAGGUAUAAUAUUUGAGGUGUUUACAGCUGAGGGUCUUCUUAAAUAGAUGUGUGCUCCUUGUCCAGUACAGCGCACUCAAAGGGAAAGGUAAAGGGGGAUACCUAGGCAGCUGUACAACUCAAUGCAUUCAACUGAAAUGUGUCUUCCGCAUUUAACCCAACCCC
Long non-coding RNA from Coregonus clupeaformis (lake whitefish), 1960 nucleotides. RefSeq lists it as uncharacterized. NCBI's taxonomy places the organism in Eukaryota, Metazoa, Chordata, Actinopteri, Salmoniformes, Salmonidae. The transcript is spliced from 5 exons. The record is from RefSeq and is a predicted model, not a curated record.